Cyprinus carpio carpio is the source of this 1546-nucleotide long non-coding RNA. The record is from Ensembl. NCBI's taxonomy places the organism in Eukaryota, Metazoa, Chordata, Actinopteri, Cypriniformes, Cyprinidae.
GUCCGAAGCAUGGCCGAGGGACGCAGCGUCUCGUUCCCUAUUCUCAGGGAACCAUGGUUACAUGUGUAACCUGAGACGUUCCCUUUCGAAAGGGAACUCCACGCUGCGUCCUCUAGAGGGCGCUAGGGGAACGAUAUCUCAACGCCGCCAUGCUGAGGGACGAGCUCAAACAACUGGAUUCCCUGAGUCAGACUCAAAGGAACGUCAUAGAUUAGCUCACCCACCAACGUCUGGAGCUCCAGAGUGGAGGUCAAGCAAACAACUCUCGGAACGAAAGGAGACCUGGCUACACUCAACACUAGACAAUUAGUAAGGCUCAGAGGAAGAGUCUGCACCUUUAAACUGCCUAUGCGGAGCUCUGGAGAGUGGAGGCUUCAGCAGAACGACUCUCUUACAUGAGAGGAGGCCAAACCUACUCAACAUAAGACUGUUUAUCAAGGCGGCCUCAAAGAGGGCCGAACAGUUGAUUACACUAACUAGAGCUUAUAUGAGCGGAGGCCUCAGCAGAAAGACUCUCUAAGCGAGAGGAAGCCAAACCUGCUCAACCUAACUGGAGCUCUGAUGAGUGGAGGCCUCAGCAGAAUGACUCUCUUAAGCGAGAGGAGGCCAAACCUACUCGACAUAAGACUGUUUAUCAAGGCGGCCUCACAGAGGGCCGAACACUUGAUUCCAAGUCUAGCUGGAGCUCAGGUGAGCGGAGGCCUCAGCAGAUUGACUCUCUAAGCGAGAGGAAGCCAAACCUACUCAACCUAACUGGAGCUCUGGUGAGCGGAGGCCUCAGCAGAUUGACUCUCUAAGCGAGAGGAAGCCAAACCUACUCAACCUAACUGGAGCUCUGAUGAGCGGAUGCCUCAGCAGAAUGACUCUCUCAAGCGAGAGGAGGCCAAACCUACUUAACCUAACUUGAGCUCUGAUGAGCGGGGGCCUCAGCAGAAUGACUCUCUUAAGCGAGAGGAGACCAAACCUACUCAACAUAAGACUGUUCAUCAAGGCGGCCUCACAGAGGGCCGAACACUUGAUUACACUGCCUAACUGGAGCUCUGAUGAGCGGAGGCCUCAGCAGAAAGACUCUCUUAAGUGAGAGGAGACCAAACCUACUCAGCUAUAUGACAGUUUACCAAGGUGGCCCACCAAAGGGCCGAAACCAAAUGUCACUGCAUAGAACUUAUACUACCACACUACCAGAUACAGGCUUUCACCGAACCUCAGUAUAACAGAAAGUGUAAGCUACACAAAUCUGCUCAAACAUCAUAGGUUCAGUUCAGGGCCCGAUGUGAAGCGUGGUGAAUACCUCAGAACCCAAUGGUGUGAGGGGGGGGGGGGCUAGGAUAGGAAGGAGAAAGGAAAAUUAUCUCUUUCCUUUAACGUGAGGCACAUCUGUUCCACCCACGCGUUUGGCUUCAAUAACCUCCCUCAAGUCCUUCCUCUUCCUCCUCAUGUCUCUCCGUUUUUGAGUCCUGCUCCUGCCAGCAGGGGGAGGAGGAGGAGCCCGAGUUGCCACACUUCGCCGCUGAGCCUGCCUGUAAUCCACAGAUGCAGACGGCCC